Molecule: long non-coding RNA, 2003 nt
Organism: Haliotis rubra (blacklip abalone)
Lineage: Eukaryota; Metazoa; Mollusca; Gastropoda; Lepetellida; Haliotidae
Exons: 3
Source: RefSeq, a predicted model, not a curated record
UAUGAUAGGAGCCCGAACAUGUUCAGGAGGAAAUGCGGUAAUUUCCGAAAGAAUAAGUAAUCUCUGGGGCGGGCGCUGUGGGAUUGUGGCAUCGACUCGUGGUGGUAUUAUAAAAGAAACUAUUCUCCAGAUCAGGGCCAGAUAAUCAAUGCCACAAGCCGCUGUGUGGAAAUGUAUGAAGCACAACUAGACGAUUACAGUGGAAGCGCUGUCCUCUUGUGGCCAGAAAGAAUGUGACACGGCACUCGUCAGCUACCGGCAUCAUCGGCGCGCUGCAGUCAGAGGAGGCUGGAGGACUGCAAUAUGCCAGCUGUUUGGAGAAACACGUUCAGAGGGUACAGUCACGGCGGUGUGGGUAGCGGACGCCCACUAACCCUAUCGGAAUCCCCAAUACGUGGGGCCCUCCAGCGGAAAUCGAUCGUUUCUUCACGUCACUGAACGUAAUGAAGAGUAAACACAUUCACAGCCCUGUGGACGAUGUCGUACACAUAGACGUCGGGGUCGAUGUCCCUGGAUUACGGCAUAACUCUCUUCAGAACCAUCGAUCCUGGCUUUAGAACCGGAAGUCCUGCUAAUGAAACAAAGAUGGCGGUCAAUUACCGGUAAUCUGACAAUUGGAGAAGACUGUGAAGAUUUCGGUGUCAAUGGAGGCGCGACAAGUAUUGGACACGCCCGUUAAAAUGAUUCUCUGUUGCACUGAAACAUAAAAAGUUAAUUGACAUCAAACAUCCUUAUAAAAAAAAUUUCAAGGACGUUCUUUCAUGUGCUGAGGGUGUUAUUUACAAGGGAAUAUUGCUAUUCUUGAACACAAAUGUCAUAUUUCUUGUCGUGAAAGGGUAUCCCACGACUUCACGCCAUCAGUGGGAUAUGAAAUAUUAUAUCAGAUUCGUACACACAAGGUCAUUAAGACAAUUGGUCUCCUUCAACAAGUCAACAAGCAGGUAGAAGUUAACGACACGGUUUAUGAUUUCGCCCGCCCUCCAAUCAGGUGUUCGAUCCUUCGACAUUGUCUCUGUGUUAUGCUAGCUAAGAUUUCGAUUACACAAAUACAUUACAGGUAUCAAAUAUUCAUAACACGUUUGAAUGGCGAUUCCACAGCUCAGACACAUUGAUCUAAUAUUGGCUUUCUCGGUAAUUAUCCUUUGUGGACAAAUAAUCUGCUGUGAGCCGACACGGUUGAAUUGUGAUCGCUGUGGAGGUGGCAAUGACAGGAGCAGCCAUGCAUGGAAAGAACAAGUCAAGCUAUUAGCAGCUCCUUUAGGGAGAUUCCAACAAAGACCAAAUGCUCUUUGUGAAAACAGCCGAAGCAUAUACAGCUCGAUCUUUGCUAAGAAUAACCUUGGCUUUUUUACGCUUAUCUGCCCUGAAGGGCUCGGAAGAGGGUGAGAUUAAGUUAUGUUCAUAACCACGCCCAGCUAUUAAUGCGUGAGUGCUUGAGUUGGUUUAACGCAGCUUUUUAAAGGGGCAGCUUAAUCUGGGAAGAAAUCCCGAAGUGGUGCGGGUCUUAGUUGUUAUCACAUUGGUCAAACUAACGAGUAUUGUGCUGACAAACCUGGACAUGUAAUCUAUGUUGUGAACCUGUAGUCAUGCGUUUCUGGCACUUCUGAGGGACGCAGCUCUCCACGGCAACUUCCGGUCGCGCAGGAGACUGCCCCAGUCGUGUGUAAAUAAUGUUUAACGAUACAGUCAGGGAUAUCCCAUCGGAUGUUGACAGAUAAUCCACUGAAUGACAUCAUGAGCAUCGAUCUUCGAAACUAGGAUACGAUGACAUGCGUCAACCAAUCAGCAAGCCUGACCACUCGGUCGCGUCAGUCGCCUUGCCGAACUGGUAUCUUCACGGGUUCUUGCGGAAGGGAAUGGUUUAUCGGAUUGGUUCAAUACUACUUUUGGUGUGAGUUUUUCGGACUGCAGUGGUAAUUGCGUUCCUUUGUGUGUGUUAUCGGUGUGUUUGGAUUAACACUGUUGUCUUCCUGGGCUCACAAUCGGUAAACUUUUUUACGAAA